Erinaceus europaeus (western European hedgehog) is the source of this 108-nucleotide small nuclear RNA. The record is from Ensembl. NCBI's taxonomy places the organism in Eukaryota, Metazoa, Chordata, Mammalia, Eulipotyphla, Erinaceidae.
GUGUUCACUUCGGCAGCACAUAUACUAAAAUUAGAAUAAUAUAAAGAAGAUUAGCAUGGCCCCUGCUCAAAGGAUGACACGCAAAUUCAUGAAGUGUUCCAUAUUAAA